CCCUCUCUCAAAAUUACCAACCGCCUACAGUCUCUCUCUCUGUCUCUUUCUCUUUCUCAAUUCUUCCUCCCUCCCUCUCUCUUUCUCGCUCUCGGUGCCGGUGAAGACAGAGGUGCGGCAAUGAGCUCCACCAUUUCUGCUUGGAACCCCAUAUCCUCUCUCCACCUGAUCGACCUCACACCCUUUCUCUCCUUUUUCCUCUUAUCUUCUUGAUGGUGUUUUGCAUCAGUCUCUGUUUCAACUUUUUUGUAGUGAUUUUUUAAGUUUUAGUUUUGUCUCUUAGAUCAGCUAGUGCUCAUUGUGUAGUUAAGAUAAAAUAUCUUUGUCUUCCAAAGCUUCAGCAUUUCUGCAGAUGAGUCUAUUUUUUUGUAAUGUUGGUGUUUUGUUGUCGUGUUCAAUGGAAUUCCUUUUCAUUAUCUAGAUUCGUAAGAAUCAAUGGACAAAGGAUUUGCAAAAUGGCCAAAAAUCAAUCUGAUAUGUGCAACGGGACUUCUCCAGCAGUAGUGUUAAACAGAAUUGUUGCUCAUGUCAAUUAAUUUGACUUGACUAUAUACGAGCAGUGUUGAAAUCAGUUCAGGAACUGCUCAAGUUCACUAGCGCACAAACAAUGGUUGACUACUUCACUUCACCUGAGAUUCUUCUUUCGUGGACUGGUCAAUUCUUUCCACCGUAUUCUUUAAGAGUAAAGGAAGUCUCAAUUUGAAAGUUACAAAACUGAGGCUCGGGAUUCAAGCAACAAGACUGUAAGGUGUAUUCGUGUCAAAGGUGGAAGUCAUAUAUGCGUUGUUAUGAUUAUUCUUUAUUCAUUUUGAUGUUUAUUUAUUGUUUUUGGAUAAUUUGUUGAUUGGAAUGUUAUGUUGUGUUAUUCUCAUAUUUGAUUCAAUAUUUAUGUAAUUUUUAAAUACAUAUACUAUUAGUGACAGCAU
Long non-coding RNA from Humulus lupulus (European hop), 926 nucleotides. RefSeq lists it as uncharacterized. Lineage: Eukaryota; Viridiplantae; Streptophyta; Magnoliopsida; Rosales; Cannabaceae. The record is from RefSeq and is a predicted model, not a curated record. The transcript is spliced from 3 exons.